GACGAACGCUGGCGGCGUGCUUAACACAUGCAAGUCGAACGGAAAGGCCCUGCUUUUGUGGGGUGCUCGAGUGGCGAACGGGUGAGUAACACGUGAGUAACCUGCCCUUGACUUUGGGAUAACUUCAGGAAACUGGGGCUAAUACCGGAUAGGAGCUCCUGCUGCAUGGUGGGGGUUGGAAAGCUUCGGCGGUUGGGGAUGGACUCGCGGGUUAUCAGCUUGUUGGUGGGGUAGUGGCUUACCAAGGCUUUGACGGGUAGCCGGCCUGAGAGGGUGACCGGCCACAUUGGGACUGAGGUACGGCCCAGACUCCUACGGGAGGCAGCAGUGGGGAAUAUGGCACAAUGGGCGGAAGCCUGAUGCAGCAACGCCGCGUGCGGGAUGACGGCCUUAGGGUUGUAAACCGCUUUCGCCUGGGACGAAGCGUGAGUGACGGUAAUGGGUAAAGAAGCACCGGCUAACUACGUG
Molecule: ribosomal RNA, 468 nt
Filed under: uncultured bacterium
Lineage: Bacteria
Description: partial 16S ribosomal RNA
Rfam family: Bacterial small subunit ribosomal RNA
Source: RNAcentral